CUUCCUUUGAAUUUCCUGGUUGCCGGCAGAUGUCUCUUUGUCUUGGCCACAACCCGUUGGUGCCACCACAGCUGCCAGCGCCGAUAUCUGGGGAGACUUUGCCAAAGCGUCAGGGUCUGCAUCUACCCAGAAUCAGCAGAGCCCGGGCUGGGUUCAGUUCUAAAUCAGACGUCCCGUCUGCUUUACUGUGUGGAUGCUGGGGAAGAAACCUCUUCUCUUCACUGUGGACCAAAGCCUGGGGGAAGCCCCCCUGCACCUUACACUCUGAGCUAACAGGCCACUUCAGGAGAUCCCAGUCCAUGACUGGUUGCAGCCUUUGUAGCUUUCUUGGGCAUUACAAGAAAGGGGCGAGAGCUAUGCAAAAACCAAAAAGUGCCCUGUGACUGCAGUGUGGAAGUAAGUGCCCCAGCGCUGGGGAAUGUGGGAGAGUGAUGCCUUGAACUCUGAACUCUCAACAGAAACCAGCAGCCCCAGUGGCUAGGGCUCUUAAUUCUGCUCUGAGAUCACAGCAAACCAUAGAGGACUAUAACCCUGGAGGGGGGGAACGAUUGUCCCCCCCAUUUUCCAAACCAGCACACUGUGGUGUUUACAUAUUUUCAACAAGGAUGCUUUUGCGUA
Molecule: non-coding RNA, 618 nt
Organism: Chelonoidis abingdonii (Abingdon island giant tortoise)
Lineage: Eukaryota; Metazoa; Chordata; Testudines; Testudinidae
Source: RefSeq, a predicted model, not a curated record